RNAcentral lists this ribosomal RNA (685 nucleotides) under Tetradesmus obliquus. RNAcentral's name for it is "eukaryotic LSU rRNA". The stretch from base 244 to 397 matches the Rfam family "5.8S ribosomal RNA". The record is from RNAcentral. Lineage: Eukaryota; Viridiplantae; Chlorophyta; Chlorophyceae; Sphaeropleales; Scenedesmaceae.
AGGUUUCCGUAGGUGAACCUGCGGAAGGAUCAUUGAAUUAUUAAAACCACAAUGUGAACCUUAUUGUUCCGUGCCUUUGCUGCCAGCAAGGCAAUCAGCUUUGCCUGAUUGUACUUGCAAGCUGGUGCGAGUUUUAUACUUGCAUCAGUGGCGCUCUGGCAUGCUUAUACACCAGUGCUAACCACUGUCAAAACCAAACUCUGAAGCUUUGAUUGCUAUUAAUUGGCAAUCUUAACCAAAGACAACUCUCAACAACGGAUAUCUUGGCUCUCGCAACGAUGAAGAACGCAGCGAAAUGCGAUACGUAGUGUGAAUUGCAGAAUUCCGUGAACCAUCGAAUCUUUGAACGCAUAUUGCGCUCGAGCCCUCGGGCAAGAGCAUGUCUGCCUCAGCGUCGGUUUAUACCCUCACCCCUCUCUCCUUUUGGAGAGCUGGUUAGCUUCUAGCUGGCCUUAGGAGUGGAUCUGGCUUUCCCAUUUGGUUUAUUCUGAAUGGGUUGGCUGAAGUUUAGAGGCUUAAGCAAGGACCCGAUAUGGGCUUCAACUGGAUAGGUAGCACCGGCUUCUGCCGACUACACGAAGUUGUGGCUUGUGGACUUUGCUAGAGGCCAAGCAGGAAACAUGCUUUGCAUGUCUUAAACUUUCGACCUGAGCUCAGGCAAGGCUACCCGCUGAACUUAAGCAUA